Molecule: ribosomal RNA, 400 nt
Filed under: uncultured Glomeromycotina
Lineage: Eukaryota; Fungi; Glomeromycota
Description: SSU rRNA
Rfam family: Eukaryotic small subunit ribosomal RNA
Source: RNAcentral
AGCAGCCGCGGUAAAUUCCAGCUCCAAUAGCGUAUAUUAAAGUUGUUGCAGUUAAAAAGCUCGUAGUUGAAUUUCGGGAUCGAUACGUCGGUCGUGCCUUCGGUACGUACUGUCGUCAUCGAUUUCUCCCUUCUGACGAACCAUGAUGUCAUUAAUUUGGUGUUAUGGGAAAUCAGGACUGUUACUUUGAAAAAAUUAGAGUGUUUAAAGCAGGCAUUAGCUUGAAUACAUUAGCAUGGAAUAAUGAAAUAGGACGUUCGAACCUAUUUUGUUGGUUUUUAGGAUCAACGUAAUGAUUAAUAGGGAUAGUUGGGGGCAUUAGUAUUCAAUUGUCAGAGGUGAAAUUCUUGGAUUUAUUGAAGACUAACUACUGCGAAAGCAUUUGCCAAGGAUGUUUUCA